This 456-nucleotide ribosomal RNA is filed under the name Gonatodes caudiscutatus (shieldhead gecko). Its description in RNAcentral is "partial large subunit ribosomal RNA". The record is from RNAcentral. Lineage: Eukaryota; Metazoa; Chordata; Lepidosauria; Squamata; Sphaerodactylidae.
AACCCCGGGCAAAGGGUAGGCGUAAAUCAAUUUUUCCCCCCAAAUUAKRAAAUNUGGACAAGUAUGAACGGCCACAUGAGGAUUUAACUGUCUCUUUUAGUUGCUCAAUGAACUUGAUCUUUCAGUACAAAAGCUGAAAUAUUCCCAUAAGACGAGAAGACCCUGCGGAGCUUAAGCUAAAACACUACUAUUAUAUAGUGCCUCCCUUUAGUUGGGGCGACUACGGAACAAAACACAACUUCCCUGCCACACAAUUAACCCCGCAACGACACACAUGUCACUGCACCCCGACCACGACCCAGUACUACUGACUAACGAACCAAGUUACCCCAGGGAUAACAGCGCCAUCCUCUUCUAGAGCCCCUAUCGCCAAGAGGGUUUACGACCUCGAUGUUGGAUCAGGACCUCCCGGUGGUGCAGCCGCUACCAGGGUUCGUUUGUUCAACGAUUAAUGUC